RNAcentral lists this long non-coding RNA (1041 nucleotides) under Salmo salar (Atlantic salmon). Its description in RNAcentral is "lncRNA (ENSSSAG00000106434.1)". The record is from RNAcentral. Lineage: Eukaryota; Metazoa; Chordata; Actinopteri; Salmoniformes; Salmonidae.
UUCUGCACACGCCACAGUCAGUGUGAACUGGAGUGACUUGACACAACACUGGCCAAACAAGGUAGCUACAAACAAAACAAAAAGUUAAAUGGUUCCUGUCUGCCGUGAAGCGUUCAUCCAUGUAUACGGGUGAUACAGAAACUGAUUCCACCAACAUGCCCUUCCAACCCCUAGCUCUGCACAAGGUGAAGGCCAAACCAUUGCAACUAGAGGAUGAGGUCGGGAGGAGGAGAGAUGGAGAGAGAACAAUGAGGCGCUCUCAUUUAAAGACUGGUGUUAUUUAUUCUACAUUCUUUAAAAAAGGGGUCCAAAAGGGUUCUUCGUCUAUCUCCAUAAGAGAACCCUUUUUGGUCCAGGUAAAACCCUUUGUCACGUCCUGACCAGUAAAUGUCAGGGAUUUCUUCGUCGUCAGACGAUAUGGCGAAAUCAUCGUCGGAAAAUGAGGACCAAUAUGCAGCAGAGUUGAGAUAGUUCAUUUUUGAACAUUUAAUAAACUCAAAAAACAAACAUACAAAAAUAACAAACCGAACUCACGAUUUACCGACAGUCCUGUUAGGCUCACUCACGCUAAACAAGAAACAAUCUCCCACAAACACACAGACAAACACACCCAACUAAUAUAGGACUUCCAAUCAAAGGCAACACCACACAGCUGCCUUCAAUUGGAAGUCCACCCCAAUUAACUCUACAUAGAAACAGACUACCUAGACUAAACAUAGAAUUACAUAAACAUAGAUCAUAAACCUAAAACCCGGAAAUACUAAAUCAAACGCCCUUUUACCAAAACACCACCCCGAACCACAUAAAACAAAUACCCUCUGCCACGUCCUGACCAAACUACAAUAACAAUUAACCCUUAUACUGGCCAGGACGUGACAGUAAAGGUGGUCAUUUGUCAUUGUAGUAUGGUCAGGGCGUGGCAAGGGGUGUUUGUUUUGUGUGUUUAUAAUUUUUUUGGUUCUAGGGGAUUUUGGUUCUAGUUUUCUAUUUCUUUGUUUCAUUUUCCACGUUUGGCCGAGUAUGGUUUCCAAUCAGAGGCAG